GCAAACGCAAUGAACACGGUCUCCGGCCCCGGCAUUGGCUCGCGGAACCUUGGACGCGAGUCCUCGGGCUCACCCGGGAGCACCGGAAAGGACUUGUGCGGACGACUUAGGAGGAGGAAGGGAAGGGAGGACCGAGGAACCAUGGCUUCUGUGGGUGCUCUUUGCAGUGGUCCGGGGAGGAGGAAGUUUACCUGCUUCCUGACGGCCGCCGUCCGCUGCGCAAACCCAGGAGCCCGAGCGGUGCUGUGGAGAAGUUGUUCACAAUAUAAACAGCCUGUUCCAAUAGAAAAUCCUUAUAAGGAGCCUCUUAAAAAGUGCGUCUUGUGUGGAAAACGUGUAGAUUAUAAGAAUGUACAGCUCACAAUGGCAGUAAUUCUCAGUUGAUGGAGGUGAGUAGUUUGGAAAAAGCUCCUCUGGUGAAGUUGAUCUCUCUACCUCACCAACAAUAUCACUGCUUCAAAUACAACUUUAUCUGUUUUACAGCCCUCAGCAAGUUAAGUGGCAAAUCUGGGGUAGAGAAUGUUGAAGUAUACUGACAAUAGUAUAAAGUGAUAGCUGCCUUAUAGGGAGAAAAACCAAGAAAUUUUUAAAUGCAGGUAUUAGGAAAGGGGACAUAUGUAAUACUUUCAACAAUAAAGAAUUAUAAAAAAAAUAACAGUCAUAACAAUAUAAAAAUAAAUGCAACAUAUUGGGAGCAUUAUGCCAAGAACACUGCCUGGCACCUGGAAGGUGCUAAAGAAUUUAAAUUUAUGAAACAUAAUUAUAGCAAAUGGCCCGAUGUACCUAUAUCUCUUAAAGACCUCACUGUAGUCUGGUAUUAUGUGACAGCCUAUCAUGAUAGGUGAAAUGUUUAGUAUUUCAUUGUAAGCAGGAGUAUUUUAGAAAAGAAUCUGUACAAACAAGAAAACAGCUUUAGCCCUGGCCGGUGUAGUUCAGUUGGUUGAGUGUUGUUCCAUGCACCAAAAGGCCACUGGUUCAAUUCCCAGCUAGGGCACAUGCCCAGGUUGUUGGCUCGAUCCCCAGUAGGAGGAAUGCAGGAGCCAGCCCAUUGGUGUUUCUCUCUCACACUGAUGUUUCUCUCUUCCUUUCUCUAAAAUUAAUAAAAACAUUUUUAAAAAAGAAAACAGCUUUAGCACUGAAACAAUAUGGUCAUUAAUCUGUUGUACAGACUUUUUGAACAGACUGGGUAAGAGAUGUUAACUUUAAUAAUUGCAUUAGUUACUUAAAAAGAUGAUCUGUCAAUAGGAUGAGCAUAGUAGUAUUUUUCAUAUUUUAUAAAGUUUGUCUGAAAUUUAUUAAUAAACCUUUAUAUGACUUGAAGGUGACAUGAGGUAUGCUUUUUGAAAUUUACAGUCAAGAAUGAAUAAUACAUGUAUUGAUAUAAAUUUUUUCUUCCUCUCCAAAUAAAACUCAAACAGCUUUUGUCCCAGUUUAUUUCUCCAUUUACUGGAUGCAUUCAUGGAAGGCACAUAACAGGUCUUUGUGGGAAGAAACAAAGAGAAAUCACAAAAGCUAUUAAGAGAGCACAAAUAAUGGGUAAGAGAAUCUGAAAAAAUGAUUUGUGCUUAUCAAUUUUGGUUGUUAUCUUUUGUGAAGAACUUAAUUGUCUCUUUACAGGAUUUAUGCCAGUUACAUACAAGGAUCCUGCAUAUCUCAAAGACCCUAAAAUUUGUAACAUCAGAUAUCGGGAGUAAAUUAUGUAAAGUUAUCAA
Molecule: RNA transcript, 1712 nt
Organism: Myotis lucifugus (little brown bat)
Lineage: Eukaryota; Metazoa; Chordata; Mammalia; Chiroptera; Vespertilionidae
Gene: MRPS18C
Gene name: mitochondrial ribosomal protein S18C
Exons: 5
Source: RefSeq, a predicted model, not a curated record